This 495-nucleotide ribosomal RNA is filed under the name uncultured bacterium. RNAcentral describes it as "partial 16S ribosomal RNA". It matches the Rfam family "Bacterial small subunit ribosomal RNA", at positions 28 to 507 of the family's 1533-position model. The record is from RNAcentral.
GAUGAACGCUGGCGGCGUGCCUAAUACAUGCAAGUCGAGCGAACAGAUGAGGAGCUUGCUCCUCUGACGUUAGCGGCGGACGGGUGAGUAACACGUGGAUAACCUACCUAUAAGACUGGGAUAACUUCGGGAAACCGGAGCUAAUACCGGAUAAUAUAUUGAACCGCAUGGUUCAAUAGUGAAAGACGGUUUUGCUGUCACUUAUAGAUGGAUCCGCGCCGCAUUAGCUAGUUGGUAAGGUAACGGCUUACCAAGGCAACGAUGCGUAGCCGACCUGAGAGGGUGAUCGGCCACUGGAACUGAGACACGGUCCAGACUCCUACGGGAGGCAGCAGUAGGGAAUCUUCCGCAAUGGGCGAAAGCCUGACGGAGCAACGCCGCGUGAGUGAUGAAGGUCUUCGGAUCGUAAAACUCUGUUAUUAGGGAAGAACAAAUGUGUAAGUAACUAUGCACGUCUUGACGGUACCUAAUCAGAAAGCCACGGCUAACUACGUG